UCUCCGUAGGUGAACCUGCGGAGGGAUCAUUACUGAGUGAGGGUUUAACCGCCCGACCUCCAACCCUUUGUGAAUCGUACUCGUUGCUUCGGGGGCGACCCUGCCGUCCGCGGCUGAGCGCCCCCGGGGUCAAUCAAACACUGCAUUCUCUGCGUCGGAGUAUUAGUAAAUCUAAUCAAAACUUUCAACAACGGAUCUCUUGGUUCUGGCAUCGAUGAAGAACGCAGC
This 228-nucleotide unclassified non-coding RNA is filed under the name uncultured fungus. Its description in RNAcentral is "sequence contains ITS1, 5.8S rRNA gene". The stretch from base 180 to 228 matches the Rfam family "5.8S ribosomal RNA", at positions 1 to 49 of the family's 154-position model. The record is from RNAcentral. Lineage: Eukaryota; Fungi.